Long non-coding RNA from Hipposideros armiger (great roundleaf bat), 500 nucleotides. RefSeq lists it as uncharacterized. The transcript is spliced from 3 exons. The record is from RefSeq and is a predicted model, not a curated record. NCBI's taxonomy places the organism in Eukaryota, Metazoa, Chordata, Mammalia, Chiroptera, Hipposideridae.
CUGGUUGCCAGAGCUCAGGGAGUAUGGAAUCUCCCCUUUGGGCUUCAAGCACCGGGGCGGGGUUUCCAUGAGGAGUCAGCCUCGGACAAUUACAGGUAAUUCACAAAUAAUCAUAAAAGUAUGAUUACAAGCAAUCUAUGGGAGAGAAAACACAGAAGAGAAAGGACAUUGACAUGCACGCAAAAAUCAACUCCUUCCCUGGAACCCUAGCAACCCUAUUUGACCAACCACGAUAUUGAGAAUUCAAAGCAUCAUGCCCAUGAAUUCCCUUCCAGAGUUACAGGUAACUGCAUUUAAUGUAUAUCUACCAAAUGCUUUCCAGUAACGUCUUCAAAAAUAUUCUAGUAGACUGAAAGAAUGAAGUAAUGAGGACUGUUGCAGACACAGCAUACCAUAGUGAUCCUAUUUCACAGAUGAGCUAUGUAAAGGUAGAUGUCAGGGAUUUAUAUCCUCAUAUCCUCCAUCUCUUUUCCUUAUGUUAUUUCUCCUGUGAAUUGUGA